GAUCCAUCGGAGAGCUUGCUCGAAGAUGGUGAGAGUGGCGCACGGGUGCGUAACGCGUGAGCAACCUACCUCUAUCAGGGGGAUAGCCUCUCGAAAGAGAGAUUAACACCGCAUAACAUCAACAGUUCGCAUGUUCGGUUGAUUAAAUAUUUAUAGGAUAGAGAUGGGCUCGCGUGACAUUAGCUAGUUGGUAGGGUAACGGCUUACCAAGGCGACGAUGUCUAGGGGCUCUGAGAGGAGAAUCCCCCACACUGGUACUGAGACACGGACCAGACUCCUACGGGAGGCAGCAGUAAGGAAUAUUGGUCAAUGGGCGGAAGCCUGAACCAGCCAUGCCGCGUGCAGGAUGACUGCCCUAUGGGUUGUAAACUGCUUUUGUCCAGGAAUAAACCUAAAUACGUGUAUUUAGCUGAAUGUACUGGAAGAAUAAGGAUCGGCUAACUCCGUGCCAGCAGCCGCGGUAAUACGGAGGAUCCGAGCGUUAUCCGGAUUUAUUGGGUUUAAAGGGUGCGUAGGCGGCCUAUUAAGUCAGGGGUGAAAUACGGUGGCUCAACCAUCGCAGUGCCUUUGAUACUGAUGGGCUUGAAUCCAUUUGAAGUGGGCGGAAUAAGACAAGUAGCGGUGAAAUGCAUAGAUAUGUCUUAGAACUCCGAUUGCGAAGGCAGCUCACUAAGCUGGUAUUGACGCUGAUGCACGAAAGCGUGGGGAUCGAACAGGAUUAGAUACCCUGGUAGUCCACGCCCUAAACGAUGAUAACUCGAUGUUGGCGAUAGACAGCCAGCGUCCCAGCGAAAG
RNAcentral lists this ribosomal RNA (795 nucleotides) under Sphingobacterium multivorum. Its description in RNAcentral is "bacterial SSU rRNA". It matches the Rfam family "Bacterial small subunit ribosomal RNA", at positions 65 to 857 of the family's 1533-position model. The record is from RNAcentral. Lineage: Bacteria; Pseudomonadati; Bacteroidota; Sphingobacteriia; Sphingobacteriales; Sphingobacteriaceae.